RNAcentral lists this ribosomal RNA (491 nucleotides) under uncultured bacterium. Its description in RNAcentral is "partial 16S ribosomal RNA". It matches the Rfam family "Bacterial small subunit ribosomal RNA", at positions 29 to 507 of the family's 1533-position model. The record is from RNAcentral.
GUGCACGCUGGCGGUAGGCCUCACCCCUGCAAGUCGAACGGCAGCACCGUAAGAGCUUGCUCUUACGGGUGGCGAGUGGCGGACGGGUGAGGAAUACAUCGGAAUCUACUUUUUCGUGGGGGAUAACGUAGGGAAACUUACGCUAAUACCGCAUACGACCUACGGGUGAAAGCAGGGGAUCUUCGGACCUUGCGCGAUUGAAUGAGCCGAUGUCGGAUUAGCUAGUUGGCGGGGUAAAGGCCCACCAAGGCGACGAUCCGUAGCUGGUCUGAGAGGGUGAUCAGCCACACUGGAACUGAGACACGGUCCAGACUCCUACGGGAGGCAGCAGUGGGGAAUAUUGGACAAUGGGCGCAAGCCUGAUCCAGCCAUACCGCGUGGGUGAAGAAGGCCUUCGGGUUGUAAAGCCCUUUUGUUGGGAAAGAAAAGCAGCAGGUUAAUACCCCGCUGUUCCGACGGUACCCAAAGAAUAAGCACCGGCUAACUUCGUG